Molecule: ribosomal RNA, 363 nt
Filed under: uncultured soil bacterium
Lineage: Bacteria
Description: bacterial SSU rRNA
Rfam family: Bacterial small subunit ribosomal RNA
Source: RNAcentral
AGAACGAACGCUGGCGGCAUGCCUAAUACAUGCAAGUCGAACGAACACUUCGGUGUUAGUGGCGCACGGGUGCGUAACGCGUGGGAAUCUGCCCUUGGGUUCGGAAUAACAGUUGGAAACGACUGCUAAUACCGGAUGAUAUCGAAAGAUCAAAGAUUUAUCGCCCAGGGAUGAGCCCGCGUAGGAUUAGCUAGUUGGUGAGGUAAAGGCUCACCAAGGCGACGAUCCUUAGCUGGUCUGAGAGGAUGAUCAGCCACACGUGGGACUGACGACACGGCCCAGACCUCCGACGGGAGCAGCGAGGUAGGAAUAGUGGACAAGUGGGCGACAAGCCUAGACUCCAGCAAGUCGCCGCGUGAGUGA